RNAcentral lists this ribosomal RNA (1120 nucleotides) under Anadara vellicata. RNAcentral's name for it is "SSU rRNA". It matches the Rfam family "Eukaryotic small subunit ribosomal RNA", at positions 35 to 1212 of the family's 1831-position model. Lineage: Eukaryota; Metazoa; Mollusca; Bivalvia; Arcoida; Arcidae. The record is from RNAcentral.
AGUCUCAGAUUAGCCAUGCAUGUCUAAGUACAUACUUUUACAUAGUGAAACCGCGAAUGGCUCAUUAAAUCAGUUAUGGUUCCUUAGAUCGUACAAUCCUACUUGGAUAACUGUGGUAAUUCUAGAGCUAAUACAUGCAAAACAGCUCCGACCUCACGGAAAGAGCGCUUUUAUUAGAACAAAACCAAUCGGGUCGAAAGGCCCGUCCAACUGGUGAUUCUGGAUAACUUUGUGCUGAUCGCAUGGCCUCGAGCCGGCGACGUAUCUUUCAAAUGUCUGCCCUAUCAACUUUCGAUGGUACGUGAUAUGCCUACCAUGGUUGUAACGGGUAACGGGGAAUCAGGGUUCGAUUCCGGAGAGGGAGCAUGAGAAACGGCUACCACAUCCAAGGAAGGCAGCAGGCGCGCAAAUUACCCACUCCUGGAACGGGGAGGUAGUGACGAAAAAUAACAAUACGGGACUCUUUCGAGGCCCCGUAAUUGGAAUGAGUACACUUUAAACCCUUUAACGAGGAUCUAUUGGAGGGCAAGUCUGGUGCCAGCAGCCGCGGUAAUUCCAGCUCCAAUAGCGUAUAUUAAAGUUGUUGCAGUUAAAAAGCUCGUAGUUGGAUCUCGGGUCCAGGCUUGCGGUCCACUCUUUGGUGGUUACUGCUCGUCCUGACCUACCAUCCGGUUUGCCCUUGGUGCUCUUGACUGAGUGCUUCGGGUGGCCGGAACGUUUACUUUGAAAAAUUAGAGUGUUCAAAGCAGGCAAUUCGCCUGAAUAAUGGUGCAUGGAAUAAUGGAAUAGGACCUCGGGUCUAUUUUGUUGGUUUUCGGAACUUGAGGUAUGAUUAAGAGGACAGACGGGGGCUUCGUAUUACGGGUUAGAGGGAAAUCUUGGAUCCCGUAGACGACUACUGCGAAGCUUUGCCAAAAUGUUUCAUUAUCAGGACGAAGUCGAAGUUCGAGACAACAAAUACCGCGGAGUUUGACCUAAAAAUCCACUAUUGAUCCCCGGAUUGUUCAUAAUCAGCGGGGGUUCCGGAAAAAAAUAUUUGUUUCGGGGAGAAGGUUGCAACCAAAAUAAAGAAUGUUGGAGGGCCCCCCCCGGGGGGUGGGUUUUUUUUUUAUCCCGGAAA